RNAcentral lists this ribosomal RNA (532 nucleotides) under uncultured bacterium. RNAcentral's name for it is "bacterial SSU rRNA". It matches the Rfam family "Bacterial small subunit ribosomal RNA", at positions 979 to 1509 of the family's 1533-position model. The record is from RNAcentral.
CCUUGACAUACUAAGAACUUUCCAGAGAUGGAUUGGUGCCUUCGGGAACUUAGAUACAGGUGCUGCAUGGCUGUCGUCAGCUCGUGUCGUGAGAUGUUGGGUUAAGUCCCCGCAACGAGCGCAACCCUUUUCCUUAUUUGCCAGCGGGUCAUGCCGGGAACUUUAAGGAUACUGCCAGUGACAAACUGGAGGAAGGCGGGGACGACGUCAAGUCAUCAUGGCCCUUACGGCCAGGGCUACACACGUGCUACAAUGGUCGGUACAAAGGGUUGCUACCUCGCGAGAGGAUGCUAAUCUCAAAAAGCCGAUCGUAGUCCGGAUCGCAGUCUGCAACUCGACUGCGUGAAGUCGGAAUCGCUAGUAAUCGCGGAUCAGAAUGCCGCGGUGAAUACGUUCCCGGGCCUUGUACACACCGCCCGUCACACCAUGGGAGUUUGUUGCACCAGAAGUAGGUAGUCUAACCGCAAGGAGGACGCUUACCACGGUGUGGCCGAUGACUGGGGUGAAGUCGUAACAAGGUAAGCGUAGAUGA